Molecule: ribosomal RNA, 597 nt
Filed under: Micromonospora sp. MP38-H8
Lineage: Bacteria; Bacillati; Actinomycetota; Actinomycetes; Micromonosporales; Micromonosporaceae
Description: bacterial SSU rRNA
Rfam family: Bacterial small subunit ribosomal RNA
Source: RNAcentral
GACGGGNAGCCGGCCUGAGAGGGCGACCGGCCACACUGGGACUGAGACACGGCCCAGACUCCUACGGGAGGCAGCAGUGGGGAAUAUUGCACAAUGGGCGGAAGCCUGAUGCAGCGACGCCGCGUGAGGGAUGACGGCCUUCGGGUUGUAAACCUCUUUCAGCAGGGACGAAGCGAGAGUGACGGUACCUGCAGAAGAAGCACCGGCCAACUACGUGCCAGCAGCCGCGGUAAGACGUAGGGUGCGAGCGUUGUCCGGAUUUAUUGGGCGUAAAGAGCUCGUAGGCGGCUUGUCGCGUCGACCGUGAAAACUUGGGGCUCAACCCCAAGCCUGCGGUCGAUACGGGCAGGCUAGAGUUCGGUAGGGGAGACUGGAAUUCCUGGUGUAGCGGUGAAAUGCGCAGAUAUCAGGAGGAACACCGGUGGCGAAGGCGGGUCUCUGGGCCGAUACUGACGCUGAGGAGCGAAAGCGUGGGGAGCGAACAGGAUUAGAUACCCUGGUAGUCCACGCUGUAAACGUUGGGCGCUAGGUGUGGGGGACCUCUCCGGUUUCCUGUGCCGCAGCUAACGCAUUAAGCGCCCCGCCUGGGGAGUACGG